GCCCGUAUAGCUCAGUGGUAGAGCGCUUCACUCGUACUAACCAUCUGCGAUAUGAAGAGGUCCGCGGUUCAAUCCCGCGUGGGGGCA
Transfer RNA from Sordaria macrospora k-hell, 87 nucleotides. It matches the Rfam family "tRNA". From Rfam's summary of the family: Transfer RNA (tRNA) molecules are approximately 80 nucleotides in length. Their secondary structure includes four short double-helical elements and three loops (D, anti-codon, and T loops). Further hydrogen bonds mediate the characteristic L-shaped molecular structure. tRNAs have two regions of fundamental functional importance: the anti-codon, which is responsible for specific mRNA codon recognition, and the 3' end, to which the tRNAs corresponding amino acid is attached (by aminoacyl-tRNA synthetases). tRNAs cope with the degeneracy of the genetic code in two manners: having more than one tRNA (with a specific anti-codon) for a particular amino acid; and 'wobble' base-pairing, i.e. permitting non-standard base-pairing at the 3rd anti-codon position. NCBI's taxonomy places the organism in Eukaryota, Fungi, Ascomycota, Sordariomycetes, Sordariales, Sordariaceae. The record is from Rfam.